Long non-coding RNA from Juglans microcarpa x Juglans regia, 463 nucleotides. RefSeq lists it as uncharacterized. The transcript has 4 exons. The record is from RefSeq and is a predicted model, not a curated record. NCBI's taxonomy places the organism in Eukaryota, Viridiplantae, Streptophyta, Magnoliopsida, Fagales, Juglandaceae.
CUCUGCAAAACUUGUCAUAUUUUUUCCCUCUCAAAACAUGCAUUUUUAAACUUCUGAAACCUAUUCAGACAUUCCAUUUCUUCAUCCCAUCUGAAUUCCCGCAUCUUUCUCUCGAUGUCGUCCAUUUUCAAAACCUACCAUCCAGCCAUCAGCCCUCCUCUGCUCUGGUUCUCGUGUCGUCAUCGCACAUCAACUCAGCACCUCGCGUUUCCAUCACCCAUCCUUUGCCCAGCACCCCGCGUCACCGUCACCACUCCCUCUGCGCCCAACAUAACAUCAUUUUUUCCAUGGCUUGAAAACUGAUAAGGUUUAAGAUACGGGGUUAUCAGUUAAGAUCCGAGAAAAAAUAAUUUUUAGGGGCAAAUUUCUAUUUAUACUGGGUUUUUAUGAUGGAAGGGCAGCUUGUGGGCACUGAGAUUCAUGGCUUCCAUACAUUGCAAGAUUAGUAUGUUCAGCAUAUUAA